Molecule: small RNA, 253 nt
Filed under: Histoplasma capsulatum
Lineage: Eukaryota; Fungi; Ascomycota; Eurotiomycetes; Onygenales; Ajellomycetaceae
Also listed under: 1 other name
Description: hypothetical RNA
Source: RNAcentral
CGGUUUCUGCUAGUUUGGAGGAAACGGUCGCGUUUAGGGAAAUUAGUCAUGUUGUUGCUGGGUGGUGUGCGAAGGAUACUAGAAGUACUAUCGAGCCCGCAGCUAUUCUUAAUUUGUUGCUGACGCAGGAUACUCGACUCUUGCACACGGCCGAAAUGAGCAGGCGGUACUACAAUAUUAUCAUGGCCACAGCCCAUUAAGUGGUCUCUCUAUUGCUGAUAGGAGAUGACAGCGAAUGUUGAUGAGAACGGAC